UUUUUACCCAUAUUUAUAUGGGCGGAUUGCAAUGCAAAUCAUUUUUACUUGAUCCAUAUUUAACCCAUCCAAAUUCAAUCCAAUCCACCCGUUUGCCACCCCUAGUCAUAGCGCACAAUGAAAUAAAAUAAGCUAUAUGUAGAGAAACAACUAUGAGUCAAGGUGUCAAAAAAUCUGUUGUUUUAUUUACAUUCAAGCACUCACAAGAAAUACUAUUCAAGUUCAGGCC
This 229-nucleotide long non-coding RNA is filed under the name Capsicum annuum. RNAcentral describes it as "long non-coding RNA (CANN_LNC016038)". The record is from RNAcentral. Lineage: Eukaryota; Viridiplantae; Streptophyta; Magnoliopsida; Solanales; Solanaceae.